UGCCAGCCGCCGCGGUAAUACGUAGGGUCCAAGCGUUGUCCGGAAUUACUGGGUAUAAAGGGUCCGCAGGCGGGCUUGUGCGUCCAGGGUUAAAGACCACGGCUCAACCGUGGGAGUGCCCUGGAUACGGCAGGUCUUGAGUACGAGAGAGGUAAGUAGAAUUCCUGGUGUAGCGGUGAAAUGCGUAGAUAUCAGGAGGAAUACCAGUGGCGAAGGCGGCUUACUGGCUCGUUACUGACGCUCAGGGACGAAAGUGUGGGGAGCAAACAGGAUUAGAUA
RNAcentral lists this ribosomal RNA (279 nucleotides) under uncultured bacterium. Its description in RNAcentral is "partial 16S ribosomal RNA". It matches the Rfam family "Bacterial small subunit ribosomal RNA", at positions 506 to 784 of the family's 1533-position model. The record is from RNAcentral.